CCUCAGCCUCUCGAGUGGAUGGGGCUACAGGUGCACACCACCACGUCCUGAACAAUACUUUCGAAGUAAAAAAAAUCUGCUUGAAUGACUCCAGAAGUCCCACAGCCAGUGAGUAACACAGUGCAUCAUGGAGGUGGGUCAUCCUUGGAAGGCCUGGGGCAUGGAAUACAAGCUGGAGAAGGUGGAAGGAGGCUGGGAUGAGAUGGUGGCAGGUUGAGGUGCCAGGCAGAAGAGUAGGCCUGAGUGCAGGUGCUAGAAGUUCAGCGUUUCUGGGGCUGGGCACAGAAAAAUGAAGAUUUCUGAUUGCAGACAGCUCAGCAGAGUUCCCCAGCCAUUCCAAGACUUGGGGCUUAAAGGAGAUUUGCGGGGAGGAGCUCCACCACACCCAGAACCUCUGGAGAACAGAUUAAGGCUCUGAGCAUCGCUGUUGAUC
Molecule: long non-coding RNA, 433 nt
Filed under: Homo sapiens (human)
Lineage: Eukaryota; Metazoa; Chordata; Mammalia; Primates; Hominidae
Description: HSALNT0330291
Source: RNAcentral